GUCCUGUCACUUUUAACCAAGAUGUCACAUAUAUUGUGGGAAACACGCUGCUCUGCAUUUUCUUUUCUAGGAUUUUACUAGGAAAAGCAAAUGUAAAAUAAAGUUUUUUUGUUUAUUUGUUUGCUUGUUGUUUUUUUUUUAACGCUACAUUUUUAUUUUGCAGAUUCUCAGGAUGAUGGAGUGAGUGAUGGAAUAGGUUGCCAACUGUAGUUACUCCACUCAGCACAGAAUGGCUGCGGGGAAAUAUAAUCAGACAUGCCCAAAGAAGUCUGCUUAGGGUGAAACAAAUACCUUUGAGGUUUAAAUCAGAAAGGAAGGAGAGACUGUUUCUACAGGUGUCAUACAAAAAUCAAUACUGAGCCAAGGAUUAUUGGAUCCCAUAGAACCACGGAGACUUGGUAGUGAAAUUCUUCCAAAGCAUUCCAUCCGUGCAGGCAGAUGGUGUUCCUAGGUUUGGAAAUAUAAAUCCCAUGGGAAGUCAGCUGAAGACCAUUUUAUGCAUCACUCAUCCUGUUAGAGCCCUGUGCUGUUCUGUCUCUCUAUAAGACUGGCUGAAACCACCACGGUUGUUUACAAUUUAUGCUCUAACUUUGGAUCACCUAGUUAAUACUCUAACUCCGAUUAUUACCAAAGACAAUGUUCUAUAAAAGAUAUUGUCUAUUAGAAGGAUGCUUCUGCAUUAUUAAUAAAAUCACAGGGAAAAUGCAACAUUUUGGAUGUCACAUCUGAUAAGUUGGCAGUUAAAGAACAGAAACAGCAAUAAGACUGCGUGGCUACAUUUUCCCAGUGCCACCAACUGGGAUUUAAGCUGACUAACAUUUUGAAAGCCCAGCCCAUUUCAUUCACAGCAGGAUGGCAGUGGGUGACUGAUCGUACCCGCCAGCUGGCUAAUGUCAUAAUUAACAAAGUUGCUACUACAUCUGCAAAGUUUAAUCGAAAAAUUUGCCAGUGAUAUGAUGGCCUUGUCACAGAGAUCACAAGGGACACGGAGUUGACUUUUGCUCAAGGUGGAACGACAGAGCUGUGUAGGCAAGAUGAGAAAUUGCGAACUUGUUCGGCCAAAGGAGGCUAAUAAUGAAGGGGCCGGGAAGGAGGCCAGUGCUACCAGGGUUAUCUCACAACCUCAGAUGCUGGAUAAGUCGACGGAGGCAGAAUCGCUUUGGGAUGACAUUCAGAAAGCCUGGAGUGAUUACUUGCAAGAGAAAAGCCUACCUAUUCUUUCCAAGGUGCAGGAAUAUUCCCCUGACCUGCUCAUCCAGUGGUCCAGUAAUGAAUUACUGGAGACCUGCCUUAGACAAAGAAUGCACUCGGAGCCCCAACACACCUAAAGCCAUGCUUUGAAGGAUCUGCCAAGCUCACUUUUAAUCAUGAGAAAGAAAUUACCCACACGGAGUCAGCAGAAAAUGAGAAAGUAGAGCUCGUGCUGUGAAUAAUUCCAGCAAGUGCCAAGGGGCUAGUUGAGGAAUGGCUUCAUGAGAACAUGCUCUAGGGGAACUAUUAAUAGCCCACCAGUCGGGUAGGCAGCAUUCAAUCCUUCUAUGCCUUCUUUCGCCACCUGUUGAGGUCUUUCUUCUGAAACAAAGAAGAAAUAGACAAAUCAGACUUGCCCUCUUGGAAAUGUGGUCCAGAUUUCUCUACUCCCAAGCUCCAAAAAAGGUAUACAUUGGAUGGGCUAGAUCAACUCCUCCUGAGAGCCAUAAAUCCGCCAAGAGUUGUUUUCCAUGUAAGGGUGUGGUACAAUGGGGAACACCUGAUGUUGGAGGAAAGCAGGAGGACUUUAGAGUGGAGUUGCAUUCUAAUCUCUCUGCCGCUUCAACUAUGUGACCUGGGGCAAAUGAUAUAAACUCUAUGAGCCUCUUUCCUUAUCUUUAAAAUGAAGAGAAGUAAUACCUACCUUGUAGGGCUGUUGUGAGGAUUAAAUGAAGUAAUGCAUACAGUGCCUAACAAAGUAUUUAACAUCAUAUUUUUUAAAAGCUCAUGAAAUAUUAGUUUUUCUUCCUUCCCCUCUUUCUAUUUUCUCUCCUGUUCCCUUUUCUCUCCCUCCUCUGC
This is a long non-coding RNA of Homo sapiens (human), 2049 nucleotides long. The record is from Ensembl. Lineage: Eukaryota; Metazoa; Chordata; Mammalia; Primates; Hominidae.